GUAGGGAAUAUUGGGCAAUGGAUGCAAGUCUGACCCAGCCAUCCCGCGUGCCGGAAGAAGGCCCUCAGGGUUGUAAACGGCUUUUGACGGUGAAGAAUCGACAGGAUGCGUCCUGUUUUGACGGUAGCCGUUGAAUAAGCACCGGCUAACUCCGUGCCAGCAGCCGCGGUAAUACGGAGGGUGCGAGCGUUGUCCGGAUUUAUUGGGUUUAAAGGGUGCGUAGGCUGGAAGGUCAGUCAGCGGUGAAAAGCUGUCGCUUAACGAUAGUCUUGCCGCAGAUACUUCCUUGAUUGGAUGAGGAGGAGGCCACUGGAACGGAUGGUGUAGCGGUGAAAUGCAUAGAUAUCAUCCAGAACACCGAUUGCGAAGGCAGGUGGCUGUACCUUAAUCGACGCUGAUGCACGAAAGCAUGGGGAGCAAACAGGAUUAGAAACCCCAGUAGUCC
Molecule: ribosomal RNA, 445 nt
Filed under: uncultured bacterium
Lineage: Bacteria
Description: partial 16S ribosomal RNA
Rfam family: Bacterial small subunit ribosomal RNA
Source: RNAcentral